UUGGGGCGCAACUUGCGUUCA
This 21-nucleotide non-coding RNA is filed under the name Arabidopsis thaliana (thale cress). The record is from RNAcentral. Lineage: Eukaryota; Viridiplantae; Streptophyta; Magnoliopsida; Brassicales; Brassicaceae.